UUGAUUAAAUUUUAUUUAUUUAUUGUAUUUUUUUUUUAAAAAAAAGUAUUAAAAAAAAUUAUAAAGGUAUAUGUUUAAGUAUUUUAUAAAGAAAAAAUAAUUUUAAUUAUAGGGUAAUAGUAUUGUAGAAGAAAAUUGAAAUAAGUUGAAAAAUUUUUGUUUUAAAAGAAAAUUUAAUUUAUUGUACCUUGGGUAUCAGGGUUUAUUAAAUAAAAUUUAAUUAUAUUAAUUUUCUCGAUUUUAAAAGAGUUAAUAUAUUAUAAAAGUUAAUGUAAUAAAAUUAUUUUUAAUAAUAUAUUAGAAAUGAAAUGUUAUUCGUUUUUAAAGGUAUCUAGUUCUUUAAGAAAUAAAUUUAAUUUAGAAAUUUUAGAUUAUUUAAUUUAAUAAAUUAAUUAAAUAAUUUUUUAAUUUUAAUAUUUUAUGGGAUAAGCUAUAAAAUAAAUUGUUAAAAAUUAAUAGAUACAUUAAUAAAUAUAGAUUUAGAAAUAAUCAUUAUUAAUAAGUUUGUUAUAAUUUAUUUUAUAAAUAAAAUUAUUUAUUUUAAUUUUAAAUUUUUAUUAAAGUAUUUAUUUUAAUAAAAAAAAUAAAAAAAUAAUGAUAAAAUUAGUAUAUAUUUAAAUAUAUAUAUAUAUAUAUAUAUAUAUUGUAUAAUUAAAUAUAAAUGAAAAGUUUUUAUAAAGAACUCGGCAAAUUUAAUGUUCGCCUGUUUAACAAAAACAUGUCUUUUUGAUUUUUUUUAAAAGUCUAGCCUGCCCACUGAAUUUUUUUUAAAUGGCCGCAGUAUACUGACUGUGCAAAGGUAGCAUAAUCAUUAGUCUUUUAAUUGAAGGCUUGUAUGAAUGGUUGGACGAGAUAUUAACUGUUUCAUUAAAAUUUAUUAUAAAAUUUUAUUUUUUAGUCAAAAAGCUAAAAUAAAUUUAAAAGACGAGAAGACCCUAUAAAUCUUUAUAUUUAUUUUAUUAUAAUUUUUUAGAAUUUUUUUAUUGUAAUAUAAAUGAAAUAUUUUAUUGGGGUGAUAUUAAAAUUUAAUAAACUUUUAAUUUUUAAAUUCAUUAAUUAAUGAUUGAUUGAUCCGUUUUUAACGAUUAAAAAAUUAAGUUACUUUAGGGAUAACAGCGUAAUUUUUUUGGAGAGUUCAUAUCGAUAAAAAAGAUUGCGACCUCGAUGUUGGAUUAAGAUAUAGUUUUAGGUGUAGUAGCUUAAAUUUUAAGUCUGUUCGACUUUUAAAUUCUUACAUGAUCUGAGUUCAAACCGGCGUAAGCCAGGUUGGUUUCUAUCUUUAAAAAGUUUAAAUAUUUCAGUACGAAAGGACCUAAUAUUUGAUAAAUUAUUAUUUUUAUAAUGAAUAUAAUUAAUAUAAAU
RNAcentral lists this ribosomal RNA (1362 nucleotides) under Muscina stabulans. RNAcentral describes it as "16S ribosomal RNA". The stretch from base 1109 to 1268 matches the Rfam family "Archaeal large subunit ribosomal RNA", at positions 2544 to 2703 of the family's 2987-position model. Lineage: Eukaryota; Metazoa; Arthropoda; Insecta; Diptera; Muscidae. The record is from RNAcentral.